GUUGUACUGAGGAAGCAGGGAAGUAACCCAGCUAAGCCUUGGAAUUAGAGGAUAGGUCUAUAUGCAGUGGUUUGGGAACAGCUACCAUCUGAUCACAGAGAAGCCAGGUAGAGUGAUGGGCAGGCUGAGGUCUACUACGUGGCUGAGUUAGGCCUGCAAUUCAGUGACAAACUGCUGGAGUUCUCGGGGGGUUUGAGACUGUCCUCACCAAGGAAACACUGUCAUCGUGAGUCAGCUUGACAUCAUCUCUACGCAGCCUUAAAGUUAGCAACACAACACAUUAGCAUGCCAGUCAGCUAAGGAUGCUUGGUGCUUCAGGAUAUAGGAGCUGAUGUAGGUAUGUUAGCUUUUCUGAAUAGUACCCCAUUGGAAAUGCAAAGGCUGGCUUUCCUAAAUCCAACUUUUGAAAGCUCUUCCCCCCAAUGACCUGCAAUGGCACAAAAGAGCAUCUCACUUCAUAUGCUGCACAGUCAUAUUGUCAUGAGAAGAAACGUCACCUCAGGCAACUCCGUGCCAGACACAUCCCAGGUCAGCAAUUAUCAUCUAAUUGUGCAAGUCGAAGACCAGGGAAUCUGUCUCUAGGAUAUUGUGCCUUAGCAACAGUGAAAAUUGCAAUGGUGGAAAACAGCCAGGUAGCUCCAGGUGCCAUUUUCCUUCCAGAACUACUGAAUGCAAGUUAGCUUCAAAUCAUUUCCAAGGUUGAGCGGCAAAGCAGACGGGUCCAUUACUCUGUGAAGGGGAGCUCCCCCAAGGGCCUUUCUUCAGCUGAUCCAACCAGAAACAUUUAUGCAGAAGUGAAGAUAAAAAAGUCAGGCAGAGCAGCAUGAGAUUCAUUUUUUUGCCAGGAACAGUGAUGGACCACUCUACAGUGACUCACUUACACGCCUGAUAACAGCGACAGAUGAGAAUUACAACUUGCCAGCAUUCACCCAGGAGUUUUAUCAGGUCUGCAACCUACUAUGGUAACUUCUGGAAGAUCCACAAGUGCCUCUCUGUCUCAUAAUAAGAUAUCCUGGACACCUAAGUUUCAGAUAAGAGGUGGCAUUCCUCCCCCACAGCACAGCUAUCUGCUAUGAUGACGCUGUUGUAACCCUUUAGUCAUUCCCUAGAGGAAAAAAAAAUAAAUCCAAAAACUGAAGUGUUACUGCAAUUCAAUCGUUGGCAGAUAAAAGAUUUAAAACAUGCAUCCAGCUUUCAGCAUCAUAAUAGACACAGUGCAAAUUAACUAAUUCAAAAGCUAGGAUAUUUUAAAAUAUCAAACAAAUAGUGGCCAAAAACAUUAUUCUGCCCCCACAGUACACAGAGUCCUCUUCCAGUGCUCCCUAGCCUCCCUAGCACCUGUCCCAUUAUGUUUUUGCUCCAAAGUACAGAGGUAUCAGAGUACUUCAAAGACAUUGCAGUUACCUUUUGCUUAAACAAACCGAUCAUUGUCUACAUUUGUACCUGAAAAUGACCUGAAAUGUACCUGAAAAUGUACCUGAAAAAAUUAAAACAAAAACAAGAAA
Molecule: long non-coding RNA, 1505 nt
Organism: Cygnus olor (mute swan)
Lineage: Eukaryota; Metazoa; Chordata; Aves; Anseriformes; Anatidae
Exons: 6
Source: RefSeq, a predicted model, not a curated record